UUUGCCUACGGGGGGCAGCAGUGGGGAAUAUUGCACAAUGGGGGGAACCCUGAUGCAGCGACGCCGCGUGAGUGAAGAAGUAAUUCGUUAUGUAAAGCUCUAUCAGCAGGGAAGAAAAUGACGGUACCUGACUAAGAAGCCCCGGCUAACUACGUGCCAGCAGCCGCGGUAAUACGUAGGGGGCAAGCGUUAUCCGGAAUUACUGGGUGUAAAGGGAGCGUAGGCGGUGAUGCAAGUCAGAUGUGAAAACCCGGGGCUCAACCCCGGGAGUGCAUUUGAAACUGUGUGACUGGAGUGCAGGAGAG
This 305-nucleotide ribosomal RNA is filed under the name uncultured bacterium. RNAcentral describes it as "bacterial SSU rRNA". It matches the Rfam family "Bacterial small subunit ribosomal RNA", at positions 334 to 656 of the family's 1533-position model. The record is from RNAcentral.